GUGCCAGCAGCCGCGGUAAUACAGAGGCCUCGAGCGUUAGGCGGAAUCACUGGGCUUAAAGCGUGUGUAGGUGGAUGCCUAAGUACCUUGUGAAAUCCCACGGCUUAACCGUGGAAUUGCUUGGUAUACUGGGUGUCUUGAGCCACUCAGGGGCUACCGGAACAAGCGGUGGAGCGGUGAAAUGCGUAGAUAUCGCUUGGAACGCCAAUGGUGAAAACAGGUAGCUGGGGGUGUGCUGACACUGAGACACGAAAGCCAGGGGAGCAAACGGGAUUAGAAACCCCAGUAGUCC
This 292-nucleotide ribosomal RNA is filed under the name uncultured bacterium. RNAcentral describes it as "partial 16S ribosomal RNA". It matches the Rfam family "Bacterial small subunit ribosomal RNA", at positions 505 to 796 of the family's 1533-position model. The record is from RNAcentral.